This 397-nucleotide ribosomal RNA is filed under the name Aneurinibacillus aneurinilyticus. RNAcentral's name for it is "bacterial SSU rRNA". It matches the Rfam family "Bacterial small subunit ribosomal RNA", at positions 293 to 701 of the family's 1533-position model. The record is from RNAcentral. Lineage: Bacteria; Bacillati; Bacillota; Bacilli; Caryophanales; Paenibacillaceae.
CCGGAGGGGGUAUUGCCCCCCUGGGACUGGCCCGCCCCAAAUUCGUAGGGAGGCAGCAUUUGGAAUUUUCCGCAAUGAGAAAGUUCGACGGAGCACGCCGUGAACGAUUAAGGUUUUGAAUCGUAAAGUUUGUUAUAGGAAAGACCCCCGGGAUACCUCCCCGUUUGACGGUACCUAACGAGAAAGCCCCGGCUAACUACGUGCCAGCAGCCGCGGUAAUACGUAGGGGGCAAGCGUUGUCCGGAAUUAUUGGGCGUAAAGCGCGCGCAGGCGGCUUCUUAAGUCAGGUGUGAAAGCCCACGGCUCAACCGUGGAGGGCCACUUGAAACUGGGAGGCUUGAGUGCACGAGAGGACAGCGGAAUUCCACGUGUAUCGGUGAAAUGCGUAGAGAUGUGG